ACGCUGGCGGCAGGCCUAACACAUGCAAGUCGAGCGCGCCUUCGGGCGAGCGGCGGACGGGUUAGUAACGCGUGGGAACGUGCCCAGAUCUACGGAAUAGCCACUGGAAACGGUGAGUAAUACCGUAUACGCCCUUCGGGGGAAAGAUUUAUCGGAUUUGGAUCGGCCCGCGUUAGAUUAGGUAGUUGGUGGGGUAACGGCCUACCAAGCCUACGAUCUAUAGCUGGUUUUAGAGGAUGAUCAGCAACACUGGGACUGAGACACGGCCCAGACUCCUACGGGAGGCAGCAGUGGGGAAUCUUGGACAAUGGGGGCAACCCUGAUCCAGCCAUGCCGCGUGAGUGAAGAAGGCCCUAGGGUCGUAAAACUCUUUCGCCUGUGAUGAUAAUGACAGUAGCAGGUAAAGAAACCCCGGCUAACUCCGUGCCAGCAGCCGCGGUAAUACGGAGGGGGUUAGCGUUGUUCGGAAUUACUGGGCGUAAAGCGCACGUAGGCGGAUUAGAAAGUUAGAGGUGAAAUCCCGGGGCUCAACCCCGGAACUGCCUUUAAAACUACUAGUCUAGAGUUCGAGAGAGGUGAGUGGAAUUCCGAGUGUAGAGGUGAAAUUCGUAGAUAUUCGGAGGAACACCAGUGGCGAAGGCGGCUCACUGGCUCGAUACUGACGCUGAGGUGCGAAAGUGUGGGGAGCAAACAGGAUUAGAUACCCUGGUAGUCCACACCGUAAACGAUGAAUGCCAGUCGUCGGGUAGUAUACUAUUCGGUGACACACCUAACGGAUUAAGCAUUCCGCCUGGGGAGUACG
This 802-nucleotide ribosomal RNA is filed under the name uncultured Paracoccaceae bacterium. RNAcentral describes it as "bacterial SSU rRNA". It matches the Rfam family "Bacterial small subunit ribosomal RNA", at positions 33 to 884 of the family's 1533-position model. Lineage: Bacteria; Pseudomonadati; Pseudomonadota; Alphaproteobacteria; Rhodobacterales; Paracoccaceae. The record is from RNAcentral.